RNA transcript from Mus musculus (house mouse), 4579 nucleotides. It is a transcript of the gene named thioredoxin-like 4A, with no coding region annotated. The transcript has 6 exons. The record is from RefSeq and is marked validated. Lineage: Eukaryota; Metazoa; Chordata; Mammalia; Rodentia; Muridae.
GUCAGCGCGUGACGGCGCGGGAGGAGCUGGUGCUGGGUGGAGGACGCGGUGUUUGGGCCGCGUGGGCUCACACGAGGUAGCUCGCGGCGUCCGGCCGCGCAGGCGCGCUCAAGAUGUCGUACAUGCUUCCGCAUCUGCACAAUGGCUGGCAGGUAGACCAGGCCAUCCUUUCGGAGGAGGACCGCGUGGUCGUCAUUCGUUUCGGACACGACUGGGACCCCACUUGCAUGAAGAUGGACGAGGUUCUGUACAGCAUCGCCGAAAAGAAAUGGAAGAUAGUGGGAGAUCUUCCUCAUCUUGUAUGAGUCCUGUUUGGAUAUCCCAGCUGUUUUAAAGCAAACGGUGCUGGUGUCGCUUGUGCUCUGAGGCAUCCUCUGUGAUUGUGUGGAGUCUGACAGGCCUGUCUGCCGCCAAUAUGAACAUCCGCCGGGCUCGGCCAGAUGACCUGAUGAACAUGCAGCACUGCAACCUGCUGUGCCUGCCCGAGAACUACCAGAUGAAGUACUACUUCUAUCAUGGCCUCUCUUGGCCCCAGCUCUCCUACAUUGCUGAGGACGAGGAUGGGAAGAUUGUGGGCUAUGUCCUGGCCAAGAUGGAGGAGGACCCCGAUGAUGUCCCUCACGGACACAUCACCUCGCUGGCUGUGAAACGCUCCCACCGGCGCCUCGGCCUGGCCCAGAAGCUCAUGGACCAGGCUUCCAGGGCCAUGAUUGAGAACUUCAGCGCUAAGUAUGUAUCCCUGCAUGUCAGGAAGAGCAACCGGGCGGCUCUGCACCUGUAUUCCAACACCCUGAACUUCCAGGUUAAAAAUUUUGCAGUUAUUUAUCUUGUGGAUAUUACAGAAGUGCCUGACUUCAACAAGAUGUACGAGCUGUAUGACCCCUGCACUGUCAUGUUCUUCUUCAGAAACAAACAUAUCAUGAUUGAUUUGGGCACUGGCAACAACAACAAGAUCAACUGGGCCAUGGAAGACAAGCAAGAAAUGGUUGACAUCAUAGAGACCGUGUACCGUGGCGCCCGCAAAGGCCGGGGUCUGGUGGUGUCUCCCAAGGACUAUUCUACCAAGUACAGAUACUGAGCCCUGCCCUCAGGCUGUGCAAAGGACACUGAGAGCCUCUUCCACAUAGAAAUACUCUGCUCUCGUAGCCUCUGGAAAGGCCCUGCAGCCCGACAUUGCUGUAGAGCUGGAGGAUCCGUGAGAUGAGGGCUACAGAGCCUUAGCUAGCUGGAGCAAAUAAACAUGGCGAGGGAGCAGUGGGGAUCUGCUGUGCUUACUGCGUGCAAAUGUCUUUACUCCCAGUGUUUGUCCCAGGAGGCUGUCUGGUUUUGCAUCUUCGAGCGGUUGCCAGAGCUGUCAAGCAAACUACCCCAGACAUUUUAGCUGGACAGUUCUCGAGGUGUGAGCCUGAGGCGGCUGGGUUCUGGAUUCCAUUUGAGGCUGUGGGCCAUCUGCAGCAGCCCCUUGGUUCUGGAGGUUGUUGGCCAUCCUUGGUAAACCUUGGAUUGGGCACACGUUAUCCCAGUCUUUGCCGUUUUCCUUACAAGUCAUGUGUAUCAUGUGUAUGUCAAUCUCAAAACAUACCCUACUUACAAACACCAGUUACCUUGCCUGGGGCCACCUCACCUCUGUACAGCCUCAUCUUAACCGAUUACGUAUGAUAGUCACUCCAAAUGAGGUCAUGGUCUGAGAUUCUGGGCUUAAACCAUCAACAUAUUAAUUUGGGGUGACAUAACCCAUAAGAAUACCCAGUCUUAAUCUCUCUCAGCAUAUAAAACAGCACUGUGAUCCAGGUAGGAUUCACUCCUGCUGCUGGCUGAGGCCAGGCAGCCGAGCUCAAAACACAACUACGAAAAAGCAAUUGCCUGGCGGCGCUUCCCUUCCUCCACUCUUCCUCACAGCAUGUCUGUGUCCUGCUUCCUAAGGAAGCAGGGUCCUCAUUCCACCCAGCACAAGUCCCCUUAUCUACGUCAGCUUCCUCUUGUUUCUUCUCUUCCUGGCAAUGUGGAGGGACCCGGGUCUACCCUCUCAUCUCUAAACACAAACUCAGAAGAGAAAGAUGAGCAUACCAGGAGCCGACUCUGGACGAGCGCCUCAGUACCCCUGCCCCAUGCAUCUCCAUCGUACGCAGUGGCGAACACUCACUGGACGCCUGGUGGGUGGACAGUACCUUCUGUUGUUCACACACUGACCCAUUAGGAAAGCUCAGGAGUGAAGCAGAUGUCUGACCUACAAAUAAACGCACUCGUCAGAUGAACCAAAACAUGAGUCCUGGCUUGGGGUGCCGCUUGGUGAUAGAGGUAGUAUUCAGUUCCUAGCUUGCAAAAAGUCAGAUUCACAUGCAGAGCUGCAAUGUAACGCCUAGCACUAAUUUGCUCAUUAAAAGAAUAGUAGAAGCCGGACGUGGUGGCGCAUGCCUUUAAUCCCAGCACUCGGGAGGCAGAGGCAGGCGGAUUUCUGAGUUCGAGGCCAGCCUGGUCUACAAAGUGAGUUCCAGGACAGCCAGGGCUACACAGAGAUACCCUGUCUCGAAAAACCAAAAAAGAAAAAAAAAGAAUAGUAGAGCCAAACAUGGUGGUGCGUGCCUUUAAUUAACACCAGCACGUGGGAGGCAGAAGUAGGCAGAUCUCUGGUUUUGAGGCCAGUCUGCUGGUUAUCUGGCUUAUAUAGUGAGACACUGUCAGGGGGAAAAAAGUUUAGCUUUCCUCAUUGGCCAUUGGCUGGUCCCAUGUGGAGUUGCUCUUGAGUCCCCACAUAAGGGAAACUCAGUGUCUGGAGCCCUCAAGAAUGUCCUUAAAUCCGAUGUGACAGGAGAACACUGGUACAACCUUGCUCUGUACAUCUACUGAAGGAAAAGUAAUGUGUGUACAUCACUAAUGUGAGAGGACCUGCAUGUCUUAGUUAGGGUUUCAUUGCUGUGAAGAGACACCAUGACCAAGGCAACUCUGUAACAUUUACUUGGGGCUGGCUUACAAUUUCAGAGGUUCAGUCCAUUACCAGCAUGGCAGGAAGCAUGGCAGCGUGUUGGCAGGCAUGGUUCUGGAGAAGGAGCUGAGAGUUCUACAUCUAGAUCAGAAGUCAGCCAGGAUCAGACUCUCUCUGCAGGCAUCCAGGAGGAUGAGACAUCUGUAUUGGGUGGAACCUGAGCAUGGGAGCCUCAAGGCCCACCCCCACAGUGACGGACUUCCUCUAACAAGGGCACGCCUACCCCAACGAGGCCACACUUCCUAACUGUGCCACUUCCCCUGGGCCAGGCAUAUUCAAACCACCCCAUGGGGAAAGCUACUGCUAGCUGGUCGAGCUGAGUCGGCUUUAAGUUGACGCUGGUAUCAAUGUGGCCUGUGCUGAGGUUUGCUGCUGCCACUGAGCAGCUUCAUUCCUGGGACCUUCACUAACUUGAUCCAAGGAGCCUUCCAGGAACCACUUCUGGUGUCGAUCUGAUGGUGAUGGAUACCAGGGCUGACCGAAAGCUUCUUCCCAGAGGCGUUUCCUGUCAACCUGCCUACCAUUGCUCUGUGUAACAGAUUGUCUGCACAAGGUAGACAGAGCCAUUUUCAUGCAGGAAACGAGCUCCCUGGAGGGGUCUAGUGUGGCCUGUGAGCAAUGUGGGAGGCCAUGCCUGAUGUCUACAGAGAUCCUGAAGAUGGAGAAAGAAGAGGCUGCCCCAGAGAAGGCUGUGACCAAGGAGGAACUGCAGGAAGAAUGGACUGCGCCAGUGCCUGAGUUCGCUGCUGCUCAGGAAGGGGUUGGCAGACUGGUCUGAGUGGUCAGGUGCCCUUCCUGCCUGUCUGGCAGAGCCUUACUCAAGACUGGAGUGGCAGCCUCCGAGGGCUGGACUGCAGCUCCCACUGGCCAGCCACUGAAUGGAAACCAACAGCUACCAAGGUCACAGAAAGGUUAGCAACUGUGCGGUCUUAUUUUUAUGGGGGUAAAGCCCUGCAGAGUGAGAUCUCUUAAGACCCAGAGUCCACAGUGCUUGCAGUCUGGGAUAGUUACAGUCCAGAAAGGUGAGGGACCAGAUGGAGGGUCAGCCACAGUUGACCAUUGCUAGGGAUUAGAGCCAUGGCUCUCAACCUUCCUAAUGCUGUGACCCUUUAGUAGAGUUCUUCAAGAUGUGGUGACACCCAAGCAUAACAUUUUGUUACUACUUGUCCUGGCUGGUUUUGUGUGCCAACUUGACACAAGCUGGAGUUAUCAUCACAGAGAAAGGAGCUUCAGUUGGGGAAGUGCCUCCAUGAGAUCCAGCUGUGGGGCAUUUUCUCAGUUGGUGAUCAAGGGGGGAGGGCCCAUUGUAGGUGGUGCCAUCCCUGGGCUGGUAGUCUUGGGUUCUAUAAGAAAGCAAGCUGAGCAAGCCAGGGGAAACAAGCCAGUAAAGACCAUCCCUCCAUGGCCUCUGCAUCAGCUCUUGCUUCCUGACCUGCUUGAGUUCCAGGCCUGACUUUGAGAAAUUGGAGUCGUCCGAAGUUGCUGGUGAGGCUAUCUCGCAAAGUUCAAUAUGUUAUCAUAGCUGGCACUCCUAGGUAUAGACCCAAGAGAACAGCAAUGUAGAAGUGUAAGCUGAAUAAACCCUUUCCUCCCCAA